Molecule: long non-coding RNA, 722 nt
Filed under: Homo sapiens (human)
Lineage: Eukaryota; Metazoa; Chordata; Mammalia; Primates; Hominidae
Description: HSALNT0389278
Source: RNAcentral
CCGGAUUCAAUAAUCCCCUUCACGAGCCCACCUGGGCCGUAGCCCAGGGGCUGCUGCUCCCCGAGCCCCGGGAGGCAGCGUCGGGCUCCUUGACCAAGACUUUUCAGCCCGAAAUCCGCUGCGAUGCGAACGGGUGUAUCCUCCCCUCCACAAAAGACUACCCCGCCUCCCCGAGUCAUCCUCGGCUUUUUAAAGAAUGUCCAAACCAGAGCGAGUGGCUUUCCAAUUACUCUCCCUGAACUAGGCCUUCCUACUCCUCCGACCCCCAACUCACCAUUGAUCGCGAUCCUGGCCCUUCCCAAGUCAACAGAUUCAUUCUCAUAGAAGGGCAUCAGAGGAAGAUAAAGAAGGAUCCUCAAUGUCAGACAUCUGAGCCCAAGCUAAGCCAUCAUAAUCCCUGUGACGUGCACAUAUACAUGCCCCACUCCAACUAAUCAAUCGACCUUGUGACAUUCCUCCCCUGGACAAUGAAUCUCAUGAUCUCCCAACCCUGCACCUUGUGACCCCUCCCCUGCCCACAAGAGAUAACCACCUUUAAGUGUAAUUUUCCACUACCUACCCAAAUCCUAUAAAGCUGCCCCACCCCUAUCUCCCUUUGCUGACUCUUUGUGGACUCAGCCCACUUGCACCCAAGUGAAAUAAACAGCCUUGUUGCUCUCACAAAGCCUGUUGGUAGACUCUCUUCACGUGGACGCACAUAACAGUUGGGAGUUGGAGACCAG